AGUCCCGUGGGGUAGCGGUCAAUCCUGUUGGCCUUUGGAGCCGAAGACUCCGGUUCGAAUCCGGACGGGACUA
This 73-nucleotide transfer RNA is filed under the name Methanocella paludicola SANAE. RNAcentral describes it as "tRNA-Gln (TTG) (tRNA-Gln-TTG-1-1)". It matches the Rfam family "tRNA". From Rfam's summary of the family: Transfer RNA (tRNA) molecules are approximately 80 nucleotides in length. Lineage: Archaea; Methanobacteriati; Methanobacteriota; Methanomicrobia; Methanocellales; Methanocellaceae. The record is from RNAcentral.